Molecule: ribosomal RNA, 253 nt
Filed under: uncultured bacterium
Lineage: Bacteria
Description: partial 16S ribosomal RNA
Rfam family: Bacterial small subunit ribosomal RNA
Source: RNAcentral
UACGUAGGGGGCAAGCGUUAAUCGGAAUUACUGGGCGUAAAGCGUGCGCAGGCGGCUUUGCAAGACAGAUGUGAAAUCCCCGGGCUCAACCUGGGAAUUGCGAUGGAGACUGCAAGGCUAGAAUCUGGCAGAGGAGGGUAGAAUUCCACGUGUAGCAGUGAAAUGCGUAGAGAUGUGGAGGAACACCGAUGGCGAAGGCAGCCCGCUGGGUCAAGAUUGACGCUCAUGCACGAAAGCGUGGGGAGCAAACAGG